Ixodes scapularis (black-legged tick) is the source of this 709-nucleotide long non-coding RNA. RefSeq lists it as uncharacterized. The transcript has 3 exons. NCBI's taxonomy places the organism in Eukaryota, Metazoa, Arthropoda, Arachnida, Ixodida, Ixodidae. The record is from RefSeq and is a predicted model, not a curated record.
CACAUUAUUUCGGGGAUCAUGCAGCAGGCACGGCAGCCCUUUCUGGUUUUAGUGGCGUCCUCCCCGCGACAAGUCUCCGGCGUCCACUUUUCGCGUCACCGUCGGGCCACUCGUGGAACCAGGAAUGCGCACCCUCGCAGGCGACGUGUCCGCGCUCAGCAUUCGUGUCACGCAGUUCCCCGAAUGAACGGAGGGAGCGAGAGAGAAGUAGAGCACGGUCAAUUCUGCGAUCACGUGACGCACGUGUCUACUCUCGGGUCCAGUGUGGCAUAACUCACGCGCCGCCAUUCGUGGACCCACCCCGCGCGGUAAGGCCUCUGCGGGCGCUCUAUAAAUAAUCGGUGAGGCCUUUGUGUCGCUUUUCCUUUGUGGCGUUCGCGACGACGUUGAUGUUGCCCUGACGCGUAUUUAUGUUAGGCGCCGGAGAUGUCACGGUCUUCGUCUCGGUCGGCGUUGGCAGCGUGGGACACUCGCUUCCAGCGGCGAAACGUGAGAGAAGAAUCAGCCUUUCGAAUCCGCGCGGUGACGGAGGAUCCUCUUCUACCGCCGCGUACGACGUCGUGAUUGCUCGGCUGGUCGAGAGGGCUAUACUCGGUCUCGCCUUACGAUGGAAUGCAGCGGACUCUACGAGCCAAUCCAGGCCAAUCCAGCGCUGCGAACGUACCACGACGACUGGUCCCGCGCGUCGCUUCGGCCCUGCCCACCUGAA